Molecule: ribosomal RNA, 20 nt
Filed under: Neoaquastroma bauhiniae
Lineage: Eukaryota; Fungi; Ascomycota; Dothideomycetes; Pleosporales
Description: partial 28S ribosomal RNA
Source: RNAcentral
UCUUUGACCUCGGAUCAGUA